This 138-nucleotide non-coding RNA is filed under the name Callithrix jacchus (white-tufted-ear marmoset). RNAcentral's name for it is "Eukaryotic large subunit ribosomal RNA". It matches the Rfam family "Eukaryotic large subunit ribosomal RNA", at positions 816 to 953 of the family's 3401-position model. Lineage: Eukaryota; Metazoa; Chordata; Mammalia; Primates; Cebidae. The record is from Rfam by way of RNAcentral.
CCCAAAGAUGGUGAACUAUGCCUGAGCAGGGCCAAAGCCAGAGGACACUCUGGUGGGGGUCCAUAGCGGUCCUGUUGUGCAAAUCCAUCAUCUGACCUGGGUAUGGAGCCAAAGACUAAACUGAACCUCUGCAAACUG